RNAcentral lists this unclassified non-coding RNA (215 nucleotides) under uncultured fungus. RNAcentral's name for it is "partial contains 5.8S rRNA and ITS2". Lineage: Eukaryota; Fungi. The record is from RNAcentral.
AACGCAAAUUGCGCUCGAGGCUUCGGCCAAGAGCAUGCCUGCCUCAGCGUCGGGUUACUGUUGCAUCACCAAGGAUCUGAUUUCUCACAAGAACUCGGUGAAGGGUGGAUCUGGCUUUCUUCGAAUGACGUCUUUUUCCUUUACACAAAUAGGCAGAAAAACCAAUUGAAUACCUUUCUGAGCUGAGCUCAGGUAGGAUUACCCGCUGAACUUAA